CCUACGGGAGGCAGCAGUGGGGGAUAUUGCACAAUGGGGGAAACCCUGAUGCAGCGACGCCGCGUGUGGGAAGACGGUCCUCUGGAUUGUAAACCACUGUCCCCAGGGACGAAGAUGACGGUACCUGGGGAGGCAGCUCCGGCUAACUACGUGCCAGCAGCCGCGGUAAUACGUAGGGAGCAAGCGUUGUCCGGAAUUACUGGGUGAAAAGGGAGCGUAGGCGGGAUGGCAAGUUGGGUGUUAAAUCUACCGGCUAAACUGGUAGUCGCACUUAAAACUGCUAUUCUUGAGUGAAGUAGAGGCAGGCGGAAUUCCUAGUGUAGCGGUGAAAUGCGUAGAUAGUAGGAGGAACACCAGUGGCGAAGGCGGCCUGCUGGGCUGUGACUGACGCUGAGGCUCGAAAGUGUGGGGAGCAAACAGGAUUAGAUACCCCUGUAGUC
Molecule: ribosomal RNA, 440 nt
Filed under: uncultured bacterium
Lineage: Bacteria
Description: partial 16S ribosomal RNA
Rfam family: Bacterial small subunit ribosomal RNA
Source: RNAcentral